RNAcentral lists this ribosomal RNA (198 nucleotides) under uncultured bacterium. RNAcentral describes it as "partial 16S ribosomal RNA". It matches the Rfam family "Bacterial small subunit ribosomal RNA", at positions 328 to 539 of the family's 1533-position model. The record is from RNAcentral.
ACGCUCGACACCUACGGGAGUCAGCAGUGGGGGAUAUUGCACAAUGGGGGAAACCCUGAUGCAGCAACGCCGCGUGUGGGAAGAAGGUUUUCGGAUUGUAAACCACUGUUCUCAGGGACGAUAAUGACGGUACCUGAGGAGAAAGCUCCGGCUAACUACGUGUCAGCAGCCGCGGUAAUCUGAGCGGGCUGGCAAGGC